RNAcentral lists this ribosomal RNA (301 nucleotides) under uncultured bacterium. RNAcentral's name for it is "partial 16S ribosomal RNA". It matches the Rfam family "Bacterial small subunit ribosomal RNA", at positions 509 to 807 of the family's 1533-position model. The record is from RNAcentral.
CAGUAGCCGCGGUAAUACGUAGGGUGCGAGCGUUGUCCGGAUUUAUUCGGCGUAAAGAGCUCGUAGGCGGCUUGUCGCGUCGGAUGUGAAAGCCCGGGGCUUAACUCCGGGUCUGCAUUCGAUACGGGCAGGCUAGAGUGUGGUAGGGGAGAUCGGAAUUCCUGGUGUAGCGGUGAAAUGCGCAGAUAUCAGGAGGAACACCGGUGGCGAAGGCGGUCAUCUGGGACAACACUGACGCUGAGGCACGAAAGCGUGGGGAGCAAACAGGAUUAGAUACCCCAGUAGUCCCUGUCUCUUAUAC